This is a non-coding RNA of Gasterosteus aculeatus aculeatus (three-spined stickleback), 830 nucleotides long. The record is from RefSeq and is a predicted model, not a curated record. NCBI's taxonomy places the organism in Eukaryota, Metazoa, Chordata, Actinopteri, Perciformes, Gasterosteidae.
ACUACCGAGCCAACUGAAUGUCAGAGGGCUUCCUAUCAUCCUGGGGACAACCCCACAGACGUCUUCAAAGGAGGCUUUGAAUCUGACGAUGAGGAUUCUUUUUGUGACCCAGACAUUGGGAUACUUCUUAUUGAGCGUGAAGGUGCUGUGCUCACAUCCUCCCAGCAUCUCAGUCCAGCCUUGUUGGAAACCAUCAUUGAGGGAGAAGUCGUGAUGGACAACAUUCAAGAUCUGCCAAAAGCAAUGUGCAUUGUGUUUGGACUCAUGUAUGCACUCCAUCUUAACUACCCCAAGACUAUGAAGCUCACAUUUCAGUUCAUCCAACAGGUAUUGCUCUUGUUAUUUCACACUGACUUAAAGCCAAAGCUACAGACUUUGAAAAAUCAGCUCGCAAUGUAAAGAGAUGUCAAGUCUACUUUAAGAAACUGUUGACUGUUUUUUUUUUCUUACCUGUGGGGUAAACCUUCUUAUUUUCUGUAAAACAGGUGGACAAACAGACGCAUAAAACGCAGACACACACACAGACACAUACAACACCCACAAACAAAACUGACACACCUAUACACAUAUUUUGUUUUUUGUUUUUUUGUUACUUGUGUGACAAGUUAAACUGAGCGGAGUUGUAGCGGAAAGACAUAGGACAUUGUUAUAUUAUAUACAUGUUUCAGUUCUUCAUCAGUCUAUGUAGAUUAAAUUAGAUAUUGUUCUGAUAUGAUAGUCUGUUGGUUCAUGCUCUGGCCUCCCUUCAUUGAGGCAGAUGAAACAGAUCCUUUUUGUGAUUAGCUGUGUUUGGCCAUUUUUCUUAAAAGUAAAAUGCAUUGGAGCAUUUA